UUUUGGAAAGUGUAGGGGACAAUUUCCUGGUGCAAGUGCUGGAAGAACCAACUAGGGGCAGAGCUUUUCUUGACCUGCUGCUCACAAACAGGGAAGAAUUAGUAGAGGAAGCAAAAGUGGAUGGGAACCUGGGAGGCAGUGACCAUGAGAUGGUCGAGUUCAGGAUCCUGACACAAGGAAGAAAGGAGAGCAGCAGAAUACGGACCCUGGACUUCAGAAAAGCAGACUUUGACUCCCACAGGGAACAGAUGGGCAGGAUCCCCUGGGAGAAUAACAUGAAGCGCAAAGGGGUCCAGGAGAGCUGGCUGUAUUUUAAAGAAUCCUUAUUGCGGUUGCAGGAACAAACCAUCCCGACGUGUAGAAAGAAUAGUAAAUAUGGCAGGCGGCCAGCUUGGCUUAACAGUGAAAUCCUUGCUGACCUUAAAUGCAAAAAAGAAGCGUACAAGAAGUGGNNNNNNNNNNUCACAGAAGUUGGGGAAAUCUCUAACGUACUCAAUGCUUUUUUUGCCUCUGCCUUCACAAACAAGGUCAGCUCCCAGACUGCUGGACUGGGCAGCACAGUAUGGGUAGGAGGUGACCAGCCCUCCGUGGAGAAAGAAGUGGUUCGGGACUAUUUAGAAAAACUGGAUGAGCACAAAUCCAUGGGGCGGAAUGCGCUGCAUCUGAGGGUGCUAAAGGAAUUGGCGGAUGUGAUUGCGAAGCCAUUGGCCAUCAUCUUUGAAAACUCAUGGCGAUUGGGGGUGGUCCCGGAUGACUGGAAAAAGGCUAAUGUAGUGCCCAUCUUUAAAAAAGGGAAGGAGGAGGAUCCGGGGAAAUACAGGCCAGUCAGCCUCACCUCAGUCCCUGGAAAAAUCAUGGAGCAGGUCCUCAAGGAAUCAAUUCUGAAACACUUAGAGGAGAGGAAAGUGAUCAGGAACAGUCAGCAUGGAUUCACCAAGGGGAAGUUGUGCCUGACUAACCUAAUUGCCUUCUAUGAGGAGAUAACUGGCUCCGUGGAUGAGGGGAAAGCAGUGGAUGUGUUAUUCCUUGACUUUAGCAAAGCUUUUGAUACGGUCUCCCACAGUAUUCUUGCCGCCAAGUUAAAGAAGUAUGGGCUGGAUGAAUGGACUGUAAGGUGGAUAGAAAGGUGGAUAGAUUGUCGGGCUCAACAGGUAGUGAUCAAUGGCUCCAUGUCUAGUUGGCAGCUGGUUUCAA
This 1194-nucleotide long non-coding RNA is filed under the name Chrysemys picta bellii (western painted turtle). RNAcentral's name for it is "lncRNA (ENSCPBG00000013253.1)". Lineage: Eukaryota; Metazoa; Chordata; Testudines; Emydidae. The record is from RNAcentral.